This 355-nucleotide ribosomal RNA is filed under the name uncultured eukaryote. Its description in RNAcentral is "LSU rRNA". It matches the Rfam family "Bacterial large subunit ribosomal RNA", at positions 2122 to 2476 of the family's 2925-position model. The record is from RNAcentral.
UUCGGGCUUUAUUUGCGCAGGAUAGGUGGGAGGCUUUGAGAGUGUUUUUGAGGGAACAUUUGAGCCAUUGGUGAGAUACCACUCUUAUAAAGCUAGAAUUCUAACCUUAUACCGUUAGCCGGUUAAGGAACAGUCUCUGGUGGGCAGUUUGACUGGGGCGGUCGCCUCCUAAAAGGUAACGGAGGCGCACAAAGGUUUCCUCAGAUCGGUCAGAAAUCGAUCGUAGAGCGUAAAGGCAUAAGGAAGCUUGACUGCGAGACCUACAAGUCGAGCAGAGACGAAAGUCGGUCUUAGUGAUCUGACGGUUCCGAGUGGAAGGGCCGUCACUCAACGGAUAAAAGUUACUCUAGGGAUA